Molecule: long non-coding RNA, 315 nt
Filed under: Manihot esculenta (cassava)
Lineage: Eukaryota; Viridiplantae; Streptophyta; Magnoliopsida; Malpighiales; Euphorbiaceae
Description: long non-coding RNA (MESC_LNC001003)
Source: RNAcentral
GUUAGAUUGUUGCAGGAAGGAGAUUGUUGCUGCUAAUGUUAGUUCUAAUUGAGAAUAUCCAUCAAUACGCCAUUAAAAUUUGGAUUAUUAGUCGAGAAUAGAGAGGAAGAAUGAGUAAUAGAAGGUGCAACGACGACAAUAGCAGCAAGAGGAACAUAAGAGAUGGAUUGAGAUCUAUUUUACUGUUGCAGUUUUCGAGGAGGAGGCGGUGGUAAAGCUCAGAGAGAAGAGGAUAAGAGGAAUAUGGAGAUAAAUAGGGAGGAGAUGAAGAAGGAAGAGAUGAAGCGGAGAGAGAAGGAAGAAGAAGUGAGAUCA